GAUGAAGAACGUAGCGAAAUGCGAUAAGUAAUGUGAAUUGCAGAUUUCAGUGAAUCAUCGAAUCUUUGAACGCACCUUGCGCCUUGCGGUAUUCCACAAGGCAUGCCCGUUUGAGUAUCAUUAAAUCAUCAACUCUAAAACCUUUGUGGUUUUUUUAGAGCUUGGUCUUGAGGGUUUUGCAGGCUUUUUUUUUUCGAGUCUGCUCCCUUUAAAUGCAUUAGCGAGACUUCCCUAUGCUGAACCGUCUCUUUGACGUGAUAAUUAUCUGCGUCGAAUUUUGGUUCUCGUUGGGCUUGCUUCUAAUCGUCUGUUAAAGACAAAACGGAUUUGGGUGCAUAUAUGCGCCUUUUUCCAAAACCUUUUUUGAUCUCAAAUCGGGUAGGACUACCCGCUGAACUUAAGCAUAUCAAUAAGCGGAGGA
This 421-nucleotide unclassified non-coding RNA is filed under the name soil metagenome. Its description in RNAcentral is "partial contains 5.8S ribosomal RNA, internal transcribed spacer 2, and large subunit ribosomal RNA". The stretch from base 1 to 120 matches the Rfam family "5.8S ribosomal RNA", at positions 35 to 154 of the family's 154-position model. The record is from RNAcentral.